UUGCUACCUGUACUCUUUGUGUAUCUGCCGAGCAAACCAAGAUUAGGGUUCAUGGGUUUUGGUGACCUUAGGUACAUUAUGGAGCUUGCACAGGGAGGAGCAGGUCGUUGUGGGAUAUGGAUCAUGAACGAUAUUUGAACUUAUAACUAUUUUGGAGUUUACACUACUAUGCUUCCGCUACUUAAACAAUGUUUGGUUUUGA
RNAcentral lists this long non-coding RNA (202 nucleotides) under Helianthus annuus (common sunflower). RNAcentral's name for it is "hypothetical non coding rna". The record is from RNAcentral. Lineage: Eukaryota; Viridiplantae; Streptophyta; Magnoliopsida; Asterales; Asteraceae.